GAUGAAGAACGUAGUGAAAUGCGAUAAGUAAUGUGAAUUGCGGAAUUCAGUGAAUCAUCGAAUCUUUGAACGCACAUUGCGCCCGCCAGCAUUCUGGCGGGCAUGCCUGUUCGAGCGUCAUUUCAACCCUCAAGCUCUGCUUGGUGUUGGGGCCCUACGGUUGACGUAGGCCCUUAAAGGUAGUGGCGGACCCUCUCGGAGCCUCCUUUGCGUAGUAACUAACGUCUCGCAUUGGGAUUCGGAGGGACUCUUGCCGUAAAACCCCCAAAUUUUCUAAUGGUUGACCUCGGAUCAGGUAGGAAUACCCGCUGAACUUAAGCAUAUCAAUAAGCGGAGGA
RNAcentral lists this unclassified non-coding RNA (338 nucleotides) under soil metagenome. Its description in RNAcentral is "partial contains 5.8S ribosomal RNA, internal transcribed spacer 2, and large subunit ribosomal RNA". The stretch from base 1 to 120 matches the Rfam family "5.8S ribosomal RNA", at positions 35 to 154 of the family's 154-position model. The record is from RNAcentral.